UAUGUGGGACGGUAAACCGCUU
Molecule: microRNA, 22 nt
Filed under: Pteropus alecto (black flying fox)
Lineage: Eukaryota; Metazoa; Chordata; Mammalia; Chiroptera; Pteropodidae
Also listed under: 12 other names
Description: pal-miR-299a-3p
Gene: pal-miR-299a-3p
Source: miRBase by way of RNAcentral